This 269-nucleotide ribosomal RNA is filed under the name uncultured prokaryote. RNAcentral describes it as "partial 16S ribosomal RNA". It matches the Rfam family "Bacterial small subunit ribosomal RNA", at positions 505 to 773 of the family's 1533-position model. The record is from RNAcentral.
GUGUCAGCAGCCGCGGUAAUACGGAGGGUGCAAGCGUUAAUCGGAAUUACUGGGCGUAAAGCGCACGCAGGCGGUCUGUCAAGUCGGAUGUGAAAUCCCCGGGCUCAACCUGGGAACUGCAUUCGAAACUGGCAGGCUAGAGUCUUGUAGAGGGGGGUAGAAUUCCAGGUGUAGCGGUGAAAUGCGUAGAGAUCUGGAGGAAUACCGGUGGCGAAGGCGGCCCCCUGGACAAAGACUGACGCUCAGGUGCGAAAGCGUGGGGAGCAAAC